RNAcentral lists this long non-coding RNA (332 nucleotides) under Elaeis guineensis (African oil palm). Its description in RNAcentral is "long non-coding RNA (EGUI_LNC003705)". Lineage: Eukaryota; Viridiplantae; Streptophyta; Magnoliopsida; Arecales; Arecaceae. The record is from RNAcentral.
UUUGGAAUAGGAAGUGGAGAGGGCGAGAGAACAAGAGACGCGGGCAGUGCCUUUCUUGGCUCUUUUAUAAAGAAGCUUAUGCUCACUCUAACUCAAUGGCUGCUUGAAUAGUUUCUAAACUAGGUGGCCAUUCCAAGUUGCUUGCAUUGGAAGCUUCCAUAUAUUAACAGUCAUGAUUUGUGAAAACCCUUUGUUUCUUAAGUGGAUAAUUAAUUAGCAGUGACGGUGUUAUGCCGGUAUGUAGUGACGGGACCGAGAGGAAAUGGCGGUAUACGGCACGGUCAGGCCCAUCAGGUUACAAGGGACGGAAAGGUAGGAUAUGACGAUAUGAA